CUCUCUGCUCUGCUGUCAUUUCCUACUUGCAAAGCCACCAACAAGUUUCAAGCACUCUGAUUCUGAAUUUUGAAACCGGUGCAGUUUAAAGCAGAGUCCAUGGAGUUGCAGGAGCCAUUGGCAUAUCCUAAUCUCAGACCCAAGCUUGUGUCCACCUGUCUCUUUGCAGAGCAGUGUUGUGACAUAACUCUGCACCACCAUUUCAGAAUGGACAAAGGGUAGAAAGGGAGAAUUGUGAACCAUACUUUAAAGAGAAAUGUUUCAAAAUGCAUUGAAAAGAGUCAUAGCAACUGCUUUUAUUUGUGAUUGUCAGAAUAAGGAGUACAGAGAGGAUAAAAUUGUUUUGUUUUCCAUUUUAACUGCAUAUGAUUAGUUUUUGCUUAUGUCAGUGUUUUUUACAGCUCAAAUAAUGUUUUGUACCCACCUAGCCUUGUUGUUGCUGUUGUUGUUGUUGCUACCCUAGCAACUCAAGAGCUUAAUACUAUUUGAUGUGUGCAGCUUAGAACCUGGACUUUUGUCUUUACCAAAAUUAAAAUUUUGAUCAGGUAGUAGUUACAUAACAAUGCAUUUUUUGUUUUAAUCCAGCUCUUGCAUUGUACAGGUAGUGAAGUUUGACACCUUGUUUCCAUGUUUUCCACUGCACAAACACAUUAAACAAGUGCACAUAGAAACUACAUGACAGUUAUCAUAAUACUCCCAGGAGACUUAGGCAGAAAGACUGGAUUGCACAGAAGAUAGGCAGAGGAAGAAACUGUAGGGCAAGGUAUGCCACUUCUGAAAGCUGAAUAUUUUCUAAACCAUGUACUUGUCAACACUGGUUUCCUCUUUCGGUGCAAAUAUCUUGGGUCAAAUCCAGCUUUAUUCAUGAAAGGUACUGAACUCUAUCAUCUAAAUCAAUGAAUACUACAAACACUGAUUUUAACAAGAUGCAAUGAAUCAUACUUUCAAGUGUUCAGCCCAUCUCAAGGCUUAUCUCAUUAUGUGAUUAAUCAGGCAGAAUUUGAAUUGUAACAUCUUUGCUAAUGUAGCAAAAUAUGCACUAAUGGUAAUGAAAAAAAAAUAAAAAAAUUCCAGGAUCUUUUCA
Molecule: long non-coding RNA, 1084 nt
Filed under: Cyanistes caeruleus (blue tit)
Lineage: Eukaryota; Metazoa; Chordata; Aves; Passeriformes; Paridae
Description: lncRNA (ENSCCEG00000011684.1)
Source: RNAcentral